RNAcentral lists this ribosomal RNA (484 nucleotides) under uncultured bacterium. Its description in RNAcentral is "partial 16S ribosomal RNA". It matches the Rfam family "Bacterial small subunit ribosomal RNA", at positions 29 to 523 of the family's 1533-position model. The record is from RNAcentral.
AGUGAACGCUGGCGGCGUGCUUAACACAUGCAAGUCGAACGAGAACGGAUUAUAGCUUGCUAUAAUUGUCAGCUAAGUAGCGCACGGGUGAGUAAUGUAUAGGUAAUAUGCCUCUUAAUAAGGGAUAACAAAUGGAAACGUUUGCUAAUACCUUAUACUUCUUAUUAACAGAAGUUAAUAAGGGAAAGAUUUAUUGGUAAGAGAUUAGCCUGUAUUGUAUCAGUUAGUUGGUGGGGUAAUGGCUUAACAAGACUAUGACACAUAACUGGUUUGAGAGGAUGAUCAGUCACACUGGAACUGAGACACGGUCCAGACUCCUACGGGAGGCAGCAGUGGGGAAUAUUGCACAAUGGACGAAAGUCUGAUGCAGCAACGCCGCGUGGAGGAUGACACAUUUCGGUGCGUAAACUCCUUUUAUAUGAGAAGAUAAUGACGGUAUUAUAUGAAUAAGCACCGGCUAACUCCGUGCCAGCCGCCGCCGUAA